Molecule: ribosomal RNA, 259 nt
Filed under: uncultured bacterium
Lineage: Bacteria
Description: partial 16S ribosomal RNA
Rfam family: Bacterial small subunit ribosomal RNA
Source: RNAcentral
UACGUAGGGUGCGAGCGUUAAUCGGAAUUACUGGGCGUAAAGCGUGCGCAGGCGGUUUUGCAAGCCGGAUGUGAAAUCCCCGGGCUCAACCUGGGAAUUGCAUUUGUGACUGUACGGCUAGAGUGUGUCAGAGGGGGGGUAGAAUUCCACGUGUAGCAGUGAAAUGCGUAGAGAUGUGGAGGAAUACCGAUGGCGAAGGCAGCCCCCCUGGGGAUAACACUGACGCUCAUGCACGAAAAGCGUGGGGGAGCAAAACAGG